This 253-nucleotide ribosomal RNA is filed under the name uncultured bacterium. RNAcentral's name for it is "partial 16S ribosomal RNA". It matches the Rfam family "Bacterial small subunit ribosomal RNA", at positions 524 to 776 of the family's 1533-position model. The record is from RNAcentral.
GACAGAGGUGCCAAGCGUUAGGCGGAAUCACUGGGCUUAAAGCGUGUGUAGGCGGUCUUGUAAGUACCUUGUGAAAUCCCACGGCUCAACCGUGGAACUGCUUGGUAUACUGCUUGUCUUGAGCCACUUAGGGGCUACCGGAACAAAUGGUGGAGCGGUGAAAUGCGUAGAUAUCAUUUGGAACGCCAAUGGUGAAAACAGGUAGCUGGGAGUGUGCUGACGCUGAGACACGAAAGCCAGGGGAGCGAACGGG